Leopardus geoffroyi (Geoffroy's cat) is the source of this 1648-nucleotide long non-coding RNA. RefSeq lists it as uncharacterized. NCBI's taxonomy places the organism in Eukaryota, Metazoa, Chordata, Mammalia, Carnivora, Felidae. The record is from RefSeq and is a predicted model, not a curated record. The transcript has 2 exons.
AAGAGUGAGAGAAUCUUGGACACAUUUGUGGGUUUACAGAACAUCACCUCCUGAGUGGAGCCCAAGAAAGCAGAGGACCCAGAGCAGAAAUGGCUACGUCAUGUGCCAGGCGAGGUCACAAGAGUUUUCCCCGGCCCAGCACUGCACACGGCCCAGAGUGGCAUGGCUAUAGAUGACGCUUCCAACAGACUCGUAGAGGUCUUUGGGUCCUUGCUCAAGGGCACAGAAAGCUUCCCAACAGCCACCUGCCAGAACCUUGUGGACUGACAGUGGGUGGGGAUGCAGCGGGGGGGGGGGGGGGGGGCUGAAGGAUGUUGCUGGGGGAUGCCUUCGGGGACAGAGAGGACCUGUGGAACAGGUACCAGCUUCUUAGAGCCUCGGCCCCCAGAACUUAGGCAUGGCAUGGCUGGACAGUAAGUUUCCGCCACUAGGGGAAUGGGGGCGCAGUGCAAAUCAAAAGUUAGAGAAAAAGUUGUGUGGUUGCAUUGGGUAUAUCCCUAAACGUUUAUCCUGAGAUUGGCGCCCACUAUGCGGGUAAAGAUCAACCCGGAGGAGAUGAGUCUAGUUUAUGACUAACUCAUUCUAAGAGGUGGCUUUAUUCCCUUCCUUUCUGCCUUCUCUCCCUCCUUCUCUCCCUGACCCGCCAGACAGCCAGGUACUCUGCUGAAUUCUAGCAAUACUUUUUUUUUUUUUUUAAACUCCAAGCCCCUGUUUUCUACCAUCAAGAUUGGGUAAUUUAGCUAGGAGGGGGAGGGGCCCUCUUGACGUUAGGAGAGGCCACAUGGCUGUUUUUUGCCAAUAUGCUGUGCGAAGGGAGACUCCUAGAGCUUGCGUGGCCUUCCAGCUCAGCUCUGGUCCUUCCUCACCAUCAUGUCCACAGAGGUCUCCUCCUUCCGGGGGUGUAGCUUCAAGACGUCUGAGCCUCCGUCAGCCUGGGUCUUUGACGAGACGUGGGGAAGAGUGACGUCACCAAGCCACACUGAACGUGUGACGGGGGCAGGAAAUAAGAACAGAAAUCUUCGUGUGACCUAACUAGUCCCUGGGAAAGUCAUCAAAGAGCAGGCAACCAAUGAUAAAAUGACGACUGACAUCUCGAAAUCUAGUAAAAGUUUCUGUUUAGUAGCCAUAGAAUAACAGAAAAGUGUUUACCACCCUACAAGGUCCCACAGGACCAGCACGUACUCUGCGGGUUAGGUCGACUCUAAAAGCCUGUUGGAAAAGUACCACGAGCACAAGUAACAGGAACAACUACAACAGCUACCUCAUCUGAGUGCUUGGAGAGCGCCAGGACCCGCCAUCUCCUUCAAACCUCAAAAGGAACCUUGGAGGGAGUUAUCAGUAUAAUUGUCCCCAUCUGACAAAUGAAAAUCUCUAAAAGCAGUCAUUUCACUAGAAUAGUUUACAACAACAGAGUGGGAGAGAAUGUGCAUCUAGGUUGGUUUGUUUCACACCCUACAGUCCUGGUGUCAGUUUACGCCAAUGACCAUGACUUGAGUAUCAGGGCAGCCGGCCUCGAGUGGCACAGAAAUGAAGGAAGGAAACCUCUAGUAUGUCUACUAUGUAAAGAAGUUCACGGACAGUGUUGGAUGCCAGUCCUUCCAGGAAUAAAUACUUCCAAUCUUUCUAAAAAUAAAAAAAUAGAAGCUCA